AUGAACGCUGGCGGCGUGCCUAAUACCUGCAAGUCGAGCGAACAGAUAAGGAGCUUGCUCCUUUGACGUUAGCGGCGGACGGGUGAGUAACACGUGGGUAACCUACCUAUAAAACUGGGAUAACUUCGGGAAACCGGAGCUAAUACCGGAUAACAUUUGGAACCGCAUGGUUCUAAAGUGAAAGAUGGUUUUGCUAUCACUUAUAGAUGGACCCGCGCCGUAUUAGCUAGUUGGUAAGGUAACGGCUUACCAAGGCGACGAUACGUAGCCGACCUGAGAGGGUGAUCGGCCACACUGGAACUGAGACACGGUCCAGACUCCUACGGGAGGCAGCAGUAGGGAAUCUUCCGCAAUGGGCGAAAGCCUGACGGAGCAACGCCGCGUGAGUGAUGAAGGGUUUCGGCUCGUAAAACUCUGUUAUUAGGGAAGAACAAAUGUGUAAGUAACUGUGCACGUCUUGACGGUACCUAAUCAGAAAGCCACGGCUAACUACGUG
Molecule: ribosomal RNA, 496 nt
Filed under: uncultured bacterium
Lineage: Bacteria
Description: partial 16S ribosomal RNA
Rfam family: Bacterial small subunit ribosomal RNA
Source: RNAcentral